This 1045-nucleotide ribosomal RNA is filed under the name Bedotia sp. ZSM 34169. RNAcentral's name for it is "partial 16S ribosomal RNA". The stretch from base 204 to 1045 matches the Rfam family "Bacterial large subunit ribosomal RNA", at positions 568 to 1968 of the family's 2925-position model. Lineage: Eukaryota; Metazoa; Chordata; Actinopteri; Atheriniformes; Bedotiidae. The record is from RNAcentral.
CAAAUCGAGCAGCUCUGACACUUAAUAGCUAGCCCUCCCAUAUAUUUCAACACUCAACUAUUUAUACCCUAAAAAACACUUAAUACAUAAACCAAACCAUUUUACCGCUUUAGUACAGGAGAUGAAAAAAGAACUAGGCGCAAUAGAAAAGUACCGCAAGGGAACGCUGAAAAAGAAAUGAAACAACGCAGUAAAGUAAAAUAAAGCAGAGCUAUUUCCUCGUACCUUUUGCAUCAUGUUUUAGCCAGAGCCCCUCAAGCAAAAAGUAUUUUAGUUUGACUACCCGAAACCAGACGAGCUACUUCAAGAUAGCCUAAUAAAUAGGGCCAACCCGUCUCUGUGGCAAAAGAGUGGGAAAAGCUUCAAGUAGAGGUGAUAAACCUACCGAGCCUGGUCAUAGCUGGUUACCUGAAAAUUGAAUAGAAGUUCAGCCCCUUGAAUUCUCAAGCCCAAACUGGAUACCCUCAGCUAAGACUAAAAGAAAUCUAGAGAGUUAUUCAAAGGGGGUACAGCCCCUUUGAAACAAGACACAACUUUUACAGACGGAUAAGGAUCAAAUUUACCAAAGUUAAAUACCCAGGUGGGCCUAAAAGCAGCCAUCCUAAAAAAAAGCGUUAUAGCUCAAGUAUAAACACAACUAAUAAUUCUGAUUAUUCCAUCCUACUCCCCUAACCCUAUCAGGUCGUCCCAUAUCCUUAUAGGAGUGAUCAUGCUAAUAUGAGUAAUAAGAAAGAACACUUUCUCCCCGCUCAAGUGUAACUCGGAACGGACCCCCCACCGAAAAUUAACGGCCCCAAUAAAAGAGGGAAUUAGGCCAUAAAACAAAGAACUAGAAAACCGCCCAUAAAUUACCGUUAACCCCACACUGGCGCGCGCCCCUGGAAAGACUAAAAGAAAAAGAAGGAACUCGGCAAAACUACCCACAAGCCUCGCCUGUUUACCAAAAACAUCGCCUCUUGUCCCCAAAAAUAAGAGGUCCCGCCUGCCCUGUGACUAUAUGUUUAACGGCCGCGGUAUUUUGACCGUGCGAAGGUAGCGCAAUUCA